UGAGGAAUAUUGGUCAAUGGGCGCGAGCCUGAACCAGCCAAGUAGCGUGAAGGAUGAAGGUCCUAUGGAUUGUAAACUUCUUUUAUAGCAGAAUAAAGUGACCCACGUGUGGGUUUUUGUAUGUAUGCUAUGAAUAAGGAUCGGCUAACUCCGUGCCAGCAGCCGCGGUAAUACGGAGGAUCCGAGCGUUAUCCGGAUUUAUUGGGUUUAAAGGGUGCGUAGGCGGAAAGAUAAGUCAGCCCGUGAAAGUUUGCGGCUCAACCGUAAAAUUGCAGUUGAUACUGUUUUUCUUGAGUGUACAUAAGGUAGGCGGAAUUCGUGGUGUAGCGGUGAAAUGCUUAGAUAUCACGAAGAACUCCGAUUGCGAAGGCAGCUUACCGGGGUACAACUGACGCUGAUGCACGAAAGUGUGGGUAUCAAACA
This 423-nucleotide ribosomal RNA is filed under the name uncultured bacterium. RNAcentral describes it as "bacterial SSU rRNA". It matches the Rfam family "Bacterial small subunit ribosomal RNA", at positions 355 to 774 of the family's 1533-position model. The record is from RNAcentral.